UGUGUUAAAGGUUUUGUCCACAGGGUGGUA
This 30-nucleotide non-coding RNA is filed under the name Mus musculus (house mouse). The record is from RNAcentral. Lineage: Eukaryota; Metazoa; Chordata; Mammalia; Rodentia; Muridae.